AUCUAUUGGUUAAAUCAUAAGCAAUGUAUACAAUGAAUAUAGAGUCGCCACCGCACUUUUAUUUAUCCUAAGGACUGGUUAAAAAGCGAACAAAAACCUAAGAAGUUUUACACGUAGAAAACUAAUGAAAAAGAUCAGAGAAUCUGGAUAAGGGGUAAAUUACGCAAUGGGAAGGUGUUAGGCACCCAAUGCGUCCUAGGUACUCCUAGGGAGCCCUUUUCACACUUUGUUGUUUGAAAAUUAUUAUUUGUCAUGACAUAAGUAUUGUGCAAACAUGAUUGGGAUGAUGAGAAAAGAAUAUACAAGUUAGUUAUUUUUGUGUUCGAACGGAUGAACCCGUUGCCUACG
RNAcentral lists this long non-coding RNA (348 nucleotides) under Lathyrus oleraceus (garden pea). RNAcentral describes it as "Pisum sativum (pea) long non-coding RNA (PSAT_LNC034563)". Lineage: Eukaryota; Viridiplantae; Streptophyta; Magnoliopsida; Fabales; Fabaceae. The record is from RNAcentral.